GAUGAACGCUGACAGAAUGCUUAACACAUGCAAGUCAACUUGAACUUCGGUUUGGGUGGCGGACGGGUGAGUAACGCGUAAAGAACUUGCCUCACAGCUAGGGACAACAUUUGGAAGCGAAUGCUAAUACCUGAUAUUAUGAUUAUAUGGCAUCGUAUAAUUAUGAAAGCUAUAUGCGCUGUGAGAGAGCUUUGCGUCCCAUUAGCUAGUUGGAGAGGUAACAGCUCACCAAGGCGAUGAUGGGUAGCCGGCCUGAGAGGGUGAUCGGCCACAAGGGGACUGAGACACGGCCCUUACUCCUACGGGAGGCAGCAGUGGGGAAUAUUGGACAAUGGACCGAGAGUCUGAUCCAGCAAUUCUGUGUGCACGAUGAAGUUUUUCGGAAUGUAAAGUGCUUUCAGUUGGGAAGAAAAAAAUGACGGUACCAACAGAAGAAGUGACGGCUAAAUACGUG
This 454-nucleotide ribosomal RNA is filed under the name uncultured bacterium. RNAcentral's name for it is "partial 16S ribosomal RNA". It matches the Rfam family "Bacterial small subunit ribosomal RNA", at positions 28 to 507 of the family's 1533-position model. The record is from RNAcentral.